GACCACGUGGCCUAAUGGAUAAGGCGUCUGACUUCGGAUCAGAAGACUGAGGGUUCGAAUCCCUUCGUGGUUG
This 73-nucleotide transfer RNA is filed under the name Trichechus manatus latirostris (Florida manatee). Its description in RNAcentral is "tRNA-Arg (TCG) (tRNA-Arg-TCG-4-1)". It matches the Rfam family "tRNA". From Rfam's summary of the family: Transfer RNA (tRNA) molecules are approximately 80 nucleotides in length. Their secondary structure includes four short double-helical elements and three loops (D, anti-codon, and T loops). Lineage: Eukaryota; Metazoa; Chordata; Mammalia; Sirenia; Trichechidae. The record is from Rfam by way of RNAcentral.